Long non-coding RNA from Pseudophryne corroboree (corroboree frog), 405 nucleotides. RefSeq lists it as uncharacterized. The record is from RefSeq and is a predicted model, not a curated record. The transcript is spliced from 3 exons. Lineage: Eukaryota; Metazoa; Chordata; Amphibia; Anura; Myobatrachidae.
ACGAGAAAUAGAAUUAUCGGUAAGUAAAUUCUUAUUAUUCUUUCUCUUUGAUUCCUCCAGUAUAUCCUUGUCCUACAACAAGCCACAGAUAUCGAAGAUCUGUAUUUGGGGAGAUAGGACACACUAUCAUUAACUUGUUAUCGUACCUUAGAAAUGACCAGUAUACAAUACCACAUGUAGAUGUUUUGGUAAUUCACAUGGAAAUGGGAAAAAAGCUACAUAAAGAUACUUUCAAAGUGACAUAAUGAGGAUCAUAAGCCCUAUUGAUGGAAGGAAUUCCAAGUGAAAGGAUUUGUCAGGAAACUGAUUUUGAAUCUCAUGAUAAAACGGUGAAAUGUACAGAGGUAAGACUCUUCCAGUCAUCUGUCUUAUAGGCCCUACACACUGGGCGAUUUUUUGAAAGAU